GUCCCAUUGCCAAUUUGUGAACUGUUCUCUGAGAGUCUUGUAGCUCCUUUGCCCAUUGAAAGAUGGAAAGAGCCGUUCAAUGGUGUACUAGUCAGCUUUCUGUUACUGUAACAAAACACCUGAGAUAAUUACCUUAGAAAAGAUUUAUUAACUUCAUGGUUUUGGAAGUUACAAGCUCUGAUCCACUGGCCCCAUUGCUUUGGCCUCCGGUGGGGGUGCUAGAUGGCAGUGUCACGUGUGUGCUCUGAAGCAAAACCACCCACAUCAUGAGCCAGGAAGCAGAGAGAAAGGGCACACCCUUCCUGAGGGCCUCCCACCAAGCUCCCCCUCCUAGAAGUCCCACCACCUCCUGAUAGCACUACCCUGGGAGCUGAGCUUUGAGCAUGUGGACCUUUGGGGGCUGCUUAUCCAAACCACAGCAGUAAAUCCCCAGCUAAGCAAGUUGAAUAAGCCCUGUGGUCUGAUUGAUGCACAGCGUCAUGCCCACAGCAAACAGCAGUGUCAUGCACUUAGGUGGUAGGUCUCAUGGUAAGGGUUCUUACCACAAUAAGAUAAAAAUGAAUAGGCAGCAGGUGAAUUAAGUCGUACAGAGA
Molecule: long non-coding RNA, 593 nt
Filed under: Marmota monax (woodchuck)
Lineage: Eukaryota; Metazoa; Chordata; Mammalia; Rodentia; Sciuridae
Source: RNAcentral